Long non-coding RNA from Dromaius novaehollandiae (emu), 956 nucleotides. RefSeq lists it as uncharacterized. The transcript is spliced from 2 exons. NCBI's taxonomy places the organism in Eukaryota, Metazoa, Chordata, Aves, Casuariiformes, Dromaiidae. The record is from RefSeq and is a predicted model, not a curated record.
GUUGAGGGAAGAAAUCCACUGAUCCUUGAUUGAAACCCAUAAGAAUAUAAUUGGGGUCCAGCAGCUUUUCUUACCACUGUCCCUUUUUCUAGGGAGGAUUGACAUUUGGACCAGCUCAUCUAUUGCUGCAGAAGCCCUAUAAAGAACUGGUAAAUGCAGCCACUAGGAUUAUAUGUAAUAUCUAUUCAGGGACAUGAUCCAGCCCAGCAGUUCUGCUCUUGUUUCAUUUUCUCCUGUUUGAGAGAUUGUUGUUAAACUGAUGGUUUGCUCAGUUUUUUUUUUCCAUUAAAGUUACUAACAUUUAUUUUGUAUAAAAAAAUUGCUAGAGAAAAGAAAAUGUCCCCUUUCCACAACAUCAUCCCCGAAAGAGAAGUACAACAGCAAAGGAGCAACAUAUUUAUGAAACGGAUAAAUACCUGGUGCUAUGUGAAUUUGAGUCAGACUGGCCAUAACAGACACACCAGUUAGGAUGCACUUUUCCUAUGGCACACAAUGUAUUCUCUCAGAAUGGACUUUCAAAGGACCAUCAGAUGUUUACAUUUCUUCUUGUUGCCCCAAAUAGUUUUGAAUACCGAAGUAUCUCCCAGAAAACAGAGAAAGACAUGAUGCAUUACUGAUGUAAUGAAACCUUACAUUUAGGUAUCUAUGACAAGUUUGUACAAAUACCAUUUUAGAGAUAGUUGAAAUAUUGGGCUUUCAUACUUUGUAAUGCUUUGAUGUGACAAUACGUAUGCUGUUGCUAUCUAGUCUAACCUCAUUGUAGACCUGUAAUUUCCUGUUUAUGGUUAUGUCAUGAAUUGCACUGGCUUGAAUUCAGCCCGAUACUGGCUGUCCAGCUGAAAUACUCUGACUGUUAUGAUGUCCACAAAACAUUAAUUAAAUGCACUUGUAACUGACUAACUACCAAGGAGUAUGUAAAAUUAUUCGUGUAAUAAAACCCUUUGUGUAUAACUUUU